CCCUGAGUGGCUCAGUGGUUGAGCAUCUGUCUUUGGCUCAGGUCAUGAGGUCGUGGGAUCGAGUCUUACAUCAGGCU
This 77-nucleotide transfer RNA is filed under the name Canis lupus familiaris (dog). It matches the Rfam family "tRNA". Rfam says of the family: Transfer RNA (tRNA) molecules are approximately 80 nucleotides in length. Their secondary structure includes four short double-helical elements and three loops (D, anti-codon, and T loops). RNAcentral also lists the same sequence under 1 other name. Lineage: Eukaryota; Metazoa; Chordata; Mammalia; Carnivora; Canidae. The record is from Rfam by way of RNAcentral.